RNAcentral lists this ribosomal RNA (440 nucleotides) under uncultured bacterium. RNAcentral describes it as "partial 16S ribosomal RNA". It matches the Rfam family "Bacterial small subunit ribosomal RNA", at positions 338 to 795 of the family's 1533-position model. The record is from RNAcentral.
CCUACGGGAGGCAGCAGUGGGGGAUAUUGCACAAUGGGCGCAACCCUGAUGCAGCGACGCCGCGUGAGUGAUGAAGUACUUCCGUAUGUAAAGCUCCUUCUGUAGGGAAGUAAAUGACAGUACCUGACCCAGAAGCCCCGGCUAACUACGUGCCAGCAGCCGCGGUAAUACGUAGGGGGCAAGCGUUAUCCGGAUUUACUGGGUGUAAAGGGAGCGUAGACGGUUAUGUAAGUCUGGAGUGAAAGCCCGGGGCCCAACCCCGGGACUGCAUUGGAGACUGUGUAACUGGAGUACAGGAGGGGCAGGCGGAAUUCCUGGUGUAGCGGUGAAAUGCGUAGAUAUCAGGAAGAACACCGACGGCGAAGGCAGCCUGCUGGACUGAAACUGACGUUGAGGCUCGAAAGCGUGGGGAGCAAACAGGAUUAGAUACCCGAGUAGUC